This is a non-coding RNA of Microcebus murinus (gray mouse lemur), 1908 nucleotides long. NCBI's taxonomy places the organism in Eukaryota, Metazoa, Chordata, Mammalia, Primates, Cheirogaleidae. The record is from RefSeq and is a predicted model, not a curated record.
UCGUGCCCCAGCAGGUAAAUUUAACAUGAUGGAUUUUUCCAAGCUACCCAAAUUACUUGAUGAAGAUAAAGAAAGCACAUUUGGUUAUGUGCAUGGAGUCUCAGGACCUGUGGUUACAGCCUGUGACAUGGCAGGUGCAGCCAUGUAUGAGCUGCUGAGAGUAGGCCACAGCAAGUUGGUUGGAGAGAUUAUUCGAUUGGAAGGUGAUAUGGCCACUAUUCAGGUGUAUGAAGAAACAUCUGGUGUGUCUGUUGGAGAUCCUGUACUUCGCACUCGUAAACCCCUCUCAGUGCAGCUUGGUCUGGCAUUAUGGGAGCCAUUUUUGAUGGUAUUCAAAGACCUUUGUCAAAUAUCAGCAGUCAGACCCAAAGCAUCUAUAUCCCCAGAGGAGUAAAUGUGUCUGCUCUUAGCAGAGAUAUCAAAUGGGAUUUUACACCUUGCAAAAACCUACAGGUGGGUAGUCAUAUUACUGGUGGAGAUAUUUAUGGAAUUGUCAAUGAGAAUUCCCUCAUCAAACACAAAAUCAUGUUGCCCUCACGAAAUAGAGGAACUGUAACUUACAUUGCUCCACCUGGGAAUUAUGAUACCUCUGAUGUUGUCUUGGAAUUUGAAUUUGAAGGUGUAAAGGAGAAGUUCAGUAUGGGUCCAAUAUGGCCUGUACGUCAAGUUCGGCCUGUCACUGAGAAGCUGCUGGCCAAUCAUCCUCUGUUGACUGGCCAGAGAGUCCUUGAUGCUCUUUUCCCGUGUGUACAGGGAGGAACUACUGCUAUCCCUGGGGCUUUUGGCUGUGGUAAGACAGUGAUAUCGCAGUCUCUAUCCAAGUAUUCCAACAGUGAUGUAAUCAUCUAUGUAAGAUGUGGUGAAAGAGGAAAUGAGAUGUCUGAAGUUCUCCGGGAUUUCCCAGAGCUCACAAUGGAAGUUGAUGGUAAGGUAGAGUCCAUUAUGAAGAGGACAGCUUUGGUAGCCAAUACCUCUAAUAUGCCUGUUGCUGCUAGAGAAGCCUCUAUUUAUACUGGAAUUACACUGUCAGAAUAUUUCCGUGACAUGGGCUAUCAUGUCAGUAUGAUGGCUGACUCUACCUCUAGAUGGGCUGAGGCCCUUAGAGAAAUCUCUGGUCGUUUAGCUGAAAUGGCUGCAGAUAGUGGAUAUCCUGCAUAUCUUGGUGCCCGUCUGGCCUCUUUUUAUGAGCGAGCAGGCAGAGUGAAAUAUCUUGGAAAUCCUGAAAGAGAAGGAAGUGUCAGCAUUGUAGGAGCAGUUUCUCCACCUGGUGGUGAUUUUUCUGAUCCAGUUACAUCUGCUACUCUUGGUAUUGUUCAGAUGUUCUGGGGCUUAGAUAAGAAAAACUAGCUCAACAGUAAGCAUUUCCCCUCUGUCAAUUGGCUCAUAAGCUACAGCAAGUACAUGCUGCCUUGGAUGAGUUACUAUGACAACACUACAGGAUUUGUUCCUCUGAGGACCAAAGCAAAGGAGAUUCUGCAGAAGAAGAAGACCUGGCAGAAUUGUACAGCUUGUGGAAAAGUCUUCUUUAGCAGAACAGAUAAAAUUACCCUGGAGUAGCAAAAACUUAUCAAAGAUGACUUCCUACAACAAAAUGGUAUACUCCUUAUGACAAGUUUCGGCCAUUCUAUAAACAGUAGGGAUGUCCAACAUGAUGCAUUUUAGAUAUGGCCGUAGAGCUGGAACCACUGCCCAGUAGUGAUAUAAAAUCACAUGUCCAUUAUCCGUGAGACAAUGGGAGAGAUCCUGUAUAGACUUUCCUCCAUGAAACUAAAGGAUCCAGUGAAAGAUGGUGAGGCAAAGAUCAAGAGCGACUAUGCACAGCUUCUUGAAGAUACUGCGAAUGCAUUCCGUAGCCUUGAAAUUAGAACUGUGACUUCUUUCCUCCUUUGCCUCAGCAAGCUUAUGUGA